Molecule: ribosomal RNA, 820 nt
Filed under: uncultured Actinomycetes bacterium
Lineage: Bacteria; Bacillati; Actinomycetota; Actinomycetes
Description: bacterial SSU rRNA
Rfam family: Bacterial small subunit ribosomal RNA
Source: RNAcentral
ACUCCUACGGGAGGCAGCAGUGGGGAAUAUUGCACAAUGGGCGAAAGCCUGAUGCAGCGACGCCGCGUGAGGGAUGACGGCCUUCGGGUUGUAAACCUCUUUCAGCAGGGAAGAAGCGCAAGUGACGGUACCUGCAGAAGAAGCACCGGCUAACUACGUGCCAGCAGCCGCGGUAAUACGUAGGGUGCGAGCGUUGUCCGGAAUUAUUGGGCGUAAAGAGCUCGUAGGCGGCUUGUCGCGUCGGAUGUGAAAGCCCGGGGCUUAACUCCGGGUCUGCAUUCGAUACGGGCAGGCUAGAGUGUGGUAGGGGAGAUCGGAAUUCCUGGUGUAGCGGUGAAAUGCGCAGAUAUCAGGAGGAACACCGGUGGCGAAGGCGGAUCUCUGGGCCAUUACUGACGCUGAGGAGCGAAAGCGUGGGGAGCGAACAGGAUUAGAUACCCUGGUAGUCCACGCCGUAAACGUUGGGAACUAGGUGUGGGUCACAUUCCACGUGGUCCGCGCCGCAGCUAACGCAUUAAGUUCCCCGCCUGGGGAGUACGGCCGCAAGGCUAAAACUCAAAGGAAUUGACGGGGGCCCGCACAAGCAGCGGAGCAUGUGGCUUAAUUCGACGCAACGCGAAGAACCUUACCAAGGCUUGACAUAUACCGGAAAACCGUAGAGAUACGGUCCCCCUUGUGGUCGGUAUACAGGUGGUGCAUGGUUGUCGUCAGCUCGUGUCGUGAGAUGUUGGGUUAAGUCCCGCAACGAGCGCAACCCUCGUUCUGUGUUGCCAGCGGGUUAUGCCGGGGACUCACAGGAGACUGCCGGGGUCAACUCGGA